AUUCGAUAACUGUGGUUUGUCUCUAUUGAUACAGGAACGUACAGUACUGUCCUGAACUGGUGAGAAAUUCCUUGAUUAAUGAAAUACCACCUAGGGAUAGGGAGGUAGGACAAUCAAUUGUUUUUGCUUUUGUUCGGUAAUGUGUUGCUAAUUGUUAGGGGAGGCUAGGGAUAGCAAGCUGGUAAUUAGUAAUAGGCUCUUUUCGCCGAGGGAUCGGGUUAAGAGUAGGCCAAGAAAGUUUACAUAACAAUUAGAUAAUCAAGCACAUUAAAAAAGAGGAGUAGAUAAGAGGGAGCGGAUAAGAUGAAAUUUUCAACCCCCAACAACUUCAUUCAUCCAUAGUCUUUUUCGUCAAUUGAAUCAAACACAUUGCAUGUUUAUUUUCUGUCCUUGCAUUCCAAACAAUUAAUUUUUCUCUACAAGUCUUACGAUCUCAAUUCACACGAACGAUAAGUCCUUUCGAGUCUCUUGGGAAGAACGAUAUCGGGUAUUGCCGAUUAUAUUACUUGAACGAUCUGGUACGCUUGCCAGUGAGUCAACAGGUAACUAUCCUUAUUGUACGAUGAUGAUUGAGAUCCUGAUUUAUAUGUUUCUAAUAGAUUGAAACAAAUGCCAUUGUCUCUUGUUUUUCAUGUUCAACACACGCCACUGUACUCCACUGUUCAUUGAUGACUAAAUUUUGUUUUCUCUCUUGGCAGAUCUAUAGAUAACUUUGUUUUGGGUGUGUUUGAUUUUUAUUUUUUGAGAACUGAUUUUAGUUCCUACACAAAAUUGGUGCAAUAUGAAAUUGUUUUAGAAAAUAGUUUUUAAAAUCAGAAAACGAGAAGGAAAUCUUACAUAAUUUUCUUGUUCCUGCAAAAGGUGAUUUGCUAAAAGAAAAAGUGUUUUUCAACGCCCGACCACUACAGAGAAGAGAACACCCUUUUCCCUUUCAGAUCUCGAUUUUGCCUUCUUCUCUUUCAUUUUCUCUCUUUCUCCAACCAGUUUGAAAUCGCUUCUACUUCACCCCACAAAAUCUUAUCAUUUUCAAUUUCAUCCUAAUUCCUUCUUGGAUCGCCUUUUUAUACUCUCCUCUCCUUCUCCAUGGUUGUUAUCUUGUAAGAGCUCGAGCUGAUUAUGAUUAUAUCAUCAAGCUUCUCCUAAUCGGCGAUAGUGGUAAUUUAUUCAUAUUUUUUUAAUAUUUCUUUAAGUG
Molecule: long non-coding RNA, 1192 nt
Filed under: Vigna radiata
Lineage: Eukaryota; Viridiplantae; Streptophyta; Magnoliopsida; Fabales; Fabaceae
Description: long non-coding RNA (VRAD_LNC011805)
Source: RNAcentral